AAGCCAUGGUGUGAGCACUUUCUUAAAAGGUCUUUGAACCUCUCCCGAGCUUCAUAAAGAGACUCUUGAUCUUGCUGUAAAAAAGUUAGUUAUAUCAUUCCUCAUCUU
Small nucleolar RNA from Vitis vinifera (wine grape), 108 nucleotides. It matches the Rfam family "Plant small nucleolar RNA R71". Rfam says of the family: R71 is a member of the C/D box family of snoRNAs containing the C (UGAUGA) and D (CUGA) box motifs. Multiple nearly identical copies of this snoRNA have been identified in Arabidopsis, and it is thought to function as a 2'-O-ribose methylation guide for 18S ribosomal RNA. The record is from Rfam. NCBI's taxonomy places the organism in Eukaryota, Viridiplantae, Streptophyta, Magnoliopsida, Vitales, Vitaceae.